CAUUGGUGGGGUUUCGCCGUCUUCGUUUCUCUUUCUUCGCGGACGAACACGCGCUGGGGCUGCAAGCUUUGCAGGAUCCCUGGUCCUUAACAGGAUAUGCGUUAGGGGCUUGUAGCUCAGUUGGUUAGAGCGCGCGCUUGAUAAGCGUGAGGUCGGAAGUUCAAGUCUUCCCAGGCCCACCACUUUCAUCGAGUGAGCAUUCGUCUUCUGGUUACGGGGCCAUAGCUCAGCUGGGAGAGCGCGUGCUUUGCAAGCAUGAGGUCGUCGGUUCGAUCCCGUCUGGCUCCACCAGAUGGUUUGAUCACCGAGAUCUUGUACCGUCGUCCGCGAAACAUCACUUCGCACCCACUAGUCCGGAUGGACAGUGACGUGCGUGAUUUCUGACAUCGUAAAGAGGAGAUCGAUCCGAGUUGGAUCGUGCAGCAAGCAAUUGCUACGCGAUACUUCAUUAUCUCCGGAUCAUUUCGGCGCUCGUGCGUCUUUCAAAGGUAGCUCACAAGGCUGCGCUUGAGAGACAAGCGAGUUGUAAAUGAUCCUUUUAGCGAAGCUUGACCGCCUCGCUAUCGGAACGAUCUUACGAAGCAAGCUGGUCUUUCUAGUCAAUGUCCGGCUGUACGUAGCAUUCAUCGAGGGUGCGCGCCGCAAGGCAAUCGUACAGACAACAUUCUGCCGAGUGUGUGGACAUUGAUAAUGAGAGCAAUCAAGUGCCUUAAUGGUGUUCGGUGGAUGCCUUGCGCUGAGAGGCGAUGAAUGACGUGCUACGCUGCGAUAAGCCGUGGGGAGCUGCGAAGAAGCUUUGAUCCGCGGAUUU
RNAcentral lists this unclassified non-coding RNA (811 nucleotides) under Bradyrhizobium sp. YJ8. RNAcentral's name for it is "partial 16S-23S ribosomal RNA intergenic spacer". The stretch from base 106 to 179 matches the Rfam family "tRNA". The record is from RNAcentral. Lineage: Bacteria; Pseudomonadati; Pseudomonadota; Alphaproteobacteria; Hyphomicrobiales; Nitrobacteraceae.